UACGGAGGGGGCUAGCGUUAUUCGGAAUUACUGGGCGUAAAGCGCACGUAGGCGGAUUGGAAAGUUGGAGGUGAAAUCCCAGGGCUCAACCUUGGAACUGCCUUCAAAACUCCCAGUCUUGAGGUCGAGAGAGGUAAGUGGAAUUCCGAGUGUAGAGGUGAAAUUCGUAGAUAUUCGGAAGAACACCAGUGGCGAAGGCGGCUCACUGGACCGGCAUUGACGCUGAGGUACGAAAGCGUGGGGAGCAAACAGG
RNAcentral lists this ribosomal RNA (253 nucleotides) under uncultured bacterium. RNAcentral describes it as "partial 16S ribosomal RNA". It matches the Rfam family "Bacterial small subunit ribosomal RNA", at positions 524 to 776 of the family's 1533-position model. The record is from RNAcentral.